Cryptomeria japonica (Japanese cedar) is the source of this 2161-nucleotide long non-coding RNA. RefSeq lists it as uncharacterized. Lineage: Eukaryota; Viridiplantae; Streptophyta; Pinopsida; Cupressales; Cupressaceae. The transcript has 3 exons. The record is from RefSeq and is a predicted model, not a curated record.
UCUUCAUCGGCCAUUUUAGUGUUCAUUCCCUUAAAAAUGCUUUUCACUUCUUCGUCUCGUGUCGACAGAAAAGCAAUUGUAGAAGUGUCAAGAUUGCGGGGAUGAUGACGGAAGAAAUAUUGUCUCCAACAAGUUGACAAAAGCGACAGUCAGGAUGAUCCUCAUUUGAAAGGGCCCAAACCUAGUGGUGGAUCGCUGGAUCUUCACGUCUACCACGGAGUGUAAUUAUUAAUACAAUCACCAGUAACACCAUUGUUGAGAGGUGAUGUAUGAGGCUCACUGUCAUGCAAAGAGUUCAAUAUUUCACAACCAUUUAGGAAAUGAACACUACAAUAUCCAUUGCUGAUGAAGAUGAUAAUUGUAGAAUACACGAAUUUAUCUUACAUUCAUCAGAAGUUUGCACGGCACACUGUAAGUCGGGCCCACGGCAGGGGGUCUCCGUUGUCUAACCAUUUCCUUCAAGCACUCUUUGCAUGGAGAAGAAGUCGACGUGGGAGUGGAUAAGAAAGGCUUCUUGUGCUACUUGAGUAUUCUUUUACACAAGUUUCGGUCACUUACCAUUACAAUUUUUUAUUUUUUUGCUUAUUACCCUAUCUGAAAUGAAUCAACAUACUUUUGAGCAUCAAUUGAUAGUGUUAAGCACCCAUUGUCUAAUUUAUUCUCUGCAACUACAUGGUACUUCUCAUUGUCCUCUCUCCAAACAAAUUCUUCACAUUAGUGGGCUUCUUGAUGUCAUUAUCUGUCAUGUCUGCUUGUCAAAUAAUUUUGCUCUCAAUUUGCAACACCCCUAUACCACAUGUUACUACUGAUUACAGCAUCUCUCUUCUAUUGCUCUGUUUCCUUUCUACCUUCACUUGUAGAACUACAAAGUGUCUACUGUCAACAUGUGUGCAUCCUCAUAGCCAGCUCCUUUAGCUGCAUAUGCUUGUAGCAACUCUUGUGUAGAUCUUUGUUCAUGCUCUUUUCUGGCAGCUAUUAUAUACUUUCUCUCUGCCAUGCUCCUCUGUUCCCAUAGUUAGCAUCUCGCUAUUGUGCUGUGAUACUCUUAACUUGUAGCAUGUAUGGAAUUGCAUUAGCCCCACUUGUAUCUUCAUGGCUACCUCUUUUCUUUGUUGUAACUAUUUGUCGCGUCUUCUGUGUGAUAUCUCCUCUAUGCCCUAUACCAACAUUCACUUGCAGCUACUCCUAUGUAGCAUCCUCUCAGCACCCUCCUUUUGGAUGUUCUUACUUUCAAAAUUUGAGUUAUGAUUCACUUGCAGCUUCUUGGAAAUUCCUGCAGUGUCCUUUCGACCUCGCAAAUGGAUGGGCUGGCUUAAACAGCACACACUAAGCUUUGACUGCUUAGGUGUGCUGUGGGCCCCUAAUAGUCAAUCCCGUCCAUUUCCGUUUGGAAUACCAUCACCGUUAACUUUCCAUGACUGUUUUCGCCUUAACCUGACCCCAUUAAUCCCGCCCAAAGUUUAAUUUUUCAAACUGUUUUCUCCCGCCCCAAAGUUUUCCUCGUAGCAAAUAGGUUUCUGAAGUGAGCAGCUCCCAUUUUCACGCAGCCUGUGCCAAAAUGGGAGCUUUUGAACCGGGAAGGGACAUCCAUCAUAACUGUGGAUGUGCUCUGAAAGACAUGCGUGCAAAAUGUGGUAGCAUAGAAUUACGUGAUUGCAGGAUAUGCAGAAAAUGUGUCCCUGCCUGUGCCAAAAUGAGAGCUUUGGAAAGAAUUAUUUAAUCUCUGCAUCCAUGCCAGUUUCAUAGAAGGCAUGCUCUACUAAGUUAUUAGCAGCUCAGCACAUCGUUUCACAAGGAGGAAUGUAUUUAAUCAAAUCAUAACUAAGAUGGACGUGAGAAGUGGUGGGUGCAUGGUGGGUUAUUGCAAGGUAUAAAUAGGGCGGAAGAAUGCUCUAAAUCUCUAAAUCUGUUAUUUGUUGAGGCUGGGAAUUAUUGUUGUGGAGGAAACACACAUGGAAAAAUGUGGUUCACAGGUUGAGUAAUAAGAAUAAUUGCAAAAGGAAAAAAGAGGCCGCUGAUUUCAAUAUGAUCUGCUCAAUUAUGAGAUCUACAGAGAAGAUGGAUUUUGCCUAAAUCUAGAGAAGCCUGAUUAGGUCUUUAUCAAUUCCAGCCAUUUUGUUGGUAAAUCUAUAUUUACAAGGAAAGUCAAGUUACCAUUUCA